GAUGAACGCUGGCGGCGUGCCUAACACAUGCAAGUCGAGCGAAAGGACGAGAAGAUUGUGUUUUUGAGGUUAGCGGAGGGCGGGCGAGUAACGCGUGGAUCACCCACUUAUAUGUCGGGGAGAAUAUCGGGAAGCAGGAUAUAAUAAUAGCGAAUAUUUUGUACCGCAGGGUGCAGAAGAAAAAGGCGGCCUUGGUGGAUGUAAUAGCUGGAUCCGGGCUGCAUGGGUGGGUUGGUAAGGUAACGGCCUACCAAGGCAACGUUGCGUAGCCGAGCUGAGGGGCUGAUCGGCCACACUGGAACGGAGACACGGUCCAGACUCCUACGGGAGGCAGCAGUAGGGAAUCUUCCGCAAUGGGCGAAAGCCUGACGCAGCAACGCCGCGUGAGUGACGAAGGUCUUCGGAUCGUAAAGCUCUGUUAUUGGGGAAGAACAUCUGUGGAAUUAACUGUGCCCAUCUUGACGGUACCUAAUCAAAAAGCCCCGGCUAACUACGUG
Molecule: ribosomal RNA, 497 nt
Filed under: uncultured bacterium
Lineage: Bacteria
Description: partial 16S ribosomal RNA
Rfam family: Bacterial small subunit ribosomal RNA
Source: RNAcentral